GAAAGGAGGGCUAAUACCGCAUAACAUCUCGAGCUCUUCGGCGCCUGAGAUCAAAGCUUGCCUCUUCUUGAAAAGCAAGCGCCUGUGGAGGGGCCCGCGCCCCAUUAGCUUGUUGGUGAGGUAACGGCUCACCAAGGCUGCGAUGGGUAGCCGGCCUGAGAGGGUGAUCGGCCACACUGGAACUGAGACACGGUCCAGACUCCUACGGGAGGCAGCAGUGAGGAAUUUUGCGCAAUGGGCGAAAGCCUGACGCAGCGACGCCGCGUGGAGGACGAAGGUCUUCGGAUCGUAAACUCCUGUCAAGCGGGACGAAGUCCGUGCGGAUGAAUAAGUCGUACGGUUGACGGUACCGCUGGAGGAAGCCCCGGCUAACUCCGUGCCAGCAGCCGCGGUAAUACGGAGGGGGCCAGCGUUGUUCGGAAUUAUUGGGCGUAAAGGGCGCGUAGGCGGCUAAGCAAGUCAAAGGUGAAAUCCCUCGGCUCAACCGAGGAACUGCCCUCUGAUACUGCUUGGGCUUGAGUCCCGGAAAAGGUAGUGGAAUUCCCAGUGUAGCGGUGAAAUGCGUAAA
RNAcentral lists this ribosomal RNA (568 nucleotides) under uncultured bacterium. Its description in RNAcentral is "bacterial SSU rRNA". It matches the Rfam family "Bacterial small subunit ribosomal RNA", at positions 153 to 694 of the family's 1533-position model. The record is from RNAcentral.